RNAcentral lists this ribosomal RNA (406 nucleotides) under uncultured bacterium. RNAcentral describes it as "partial 16S ribosomal RNA". It matches the Rfam family "Bacterial small subunit ribosomal RNA", at positions 30 to 526 of the family's 1533-position model. The record is from RNAcentral.
AUUGAACGCUGGCGGCAGGCUUAACACAUGCAAGUCGAGCGAGCGGCGGACGGGUGCGUAAUGUCUUGGAAACUGCCUGAUGGAGGGGGAUAACUACUGGAAACGGUAGCUAAUACCGCAUACCAUCAGAUGUGCCCAGAUGGGAUUAGCUAUUAGGUGGGGUAAUGGCUCACCUAGGCGACGAUCCCUAGCUGGUCUGAGAGGAUGACAAGCCAAAAGGGAACUGAACAACGGUCCAGACGCCUACGGGAGGCAGCAGUGGGGAAUAUUGCACAAUGGGCGCAAGCCUGAUGCAGCCAGGACGCGGGUGUGAAGAAGGCCUUCGGGUGGUAAAGCACUUUCAGCGAGGAGGCGUUACUAGCAGAAGAAGCACCGGCUAACUCCGUGCCAGCAGCCGCGGUAAUAC